Molecule: ribosomal RNA, 500 nt
Filed under: uncultured bacterium
Lineage: Bacteria
Description: partial 16S ribosomal RNA
Rfam family: Bacterial small subunit ribosomal RNA
Source: RNAcentral
AUUGAACGCUGGCGGAAUGCUUUACACAUGCAAGUCGAACGGCAGCACGGACUUCGGUCUGGUGGCGAGUGGCGAACGGGUGAGUAAUGUAUCGGAACGUGCCCAGUCGUGGGGGAUAACGUAGUGAAAAUUACGCUAAUACCGCAUACGAUCUAUGGAUGAAAGCGGGGGAUCGCAAGAACUCGCGCGAUUGGAGCGGCCGAUAUCAGAUUAGGUAGUUGGUGGGGUAAAGGCCCACCAAGCCAACGAUCUGUAGCUGGUCUGAGAGGACGACCAGCCACACUGGAACUGAGACACGGUCCAGACUCCUACGGGAGGCAGCAGUGGGGAAUUUUGGACAAUGGGCGAAAGCCUGAUCCAGCCAUUCCGCGUGCAGGAUGAAGGCCCUCGGGUUGUAAACUGCUUUUGUACAGAACGAAAAGGUUUCUACUAAUACUAGGAGCUCAUGACGGUACUGUAAGAAUAAGCACCGGCUAGCUACGUGCCAGCCGCCGCGGUAA